Molecule: ribosomal RNA, 2922 nt
Filed under: Staphylococcus sp. MZ8
Lineage: Bacteria; Bacillati; Bacillota; Bacilli; Caryophanales; Staphylococcaceae
Description: 23S ribosomal RNA
Rfam family: Bacterial large subunit ribosomal RNA
Source: RNAcentral
GAUUAAGUUAUUAAGGGCGCACGGUGGAUGCCUUGGCACUAGAAGCCGAUGAAGGACGUUACUAACGACGAUAUGCUUUGGGGAGCUGUAAGUAAGCUUUGAUCCAGAGAUUUCCGAAUGGGGAAACCCAGCAUGAGUUAUGUCAUGUUAUCGAUAUGUGAAUACAUAGCAUAUCAGAAGGCACACCCGGAGAACUGAAACAUCUUAGUACCCGGAGGAAGAGAAAGAAAAUUCGAUUCCCUUAGUAGCGGCGAGCGAAACGGGAAGAGCCCAAACCAACAAGCUUGCUUGUUGGGGUUGUAGGACACUCUAUACGGAGUUACAAAGGACGACAUUAGACGAAUCAUCUGGAAAGAUGAAUCAAAGAAGGUAAUAAUCCUGUAGUCGAAAAUGUUGUCUCUCUUGAGUGGAUCCUGAGUACGACGGAGCACGUGAAAUUCCGUCGGAAUCUGGGAGGACCAUCUCCUAAGGCUAAAUACUCUCUAGUGACCGAUAGUGAACCAGUACCGUGAGGGAAAGGUGAAAAGCACCCCGGAAGGGGAGUGAAAUAGAACCUGAAACCGUGUGCUUACAAGUAGUCAGAGCCCGUUAAUGGGUGAUGGCGUGCCUUUUGUAGAAUGAACCGGCGAGUUACGAUUUGAUGCAAGGUUAAGCAGUAAAUGUGGAGCCGUAGCGAAAGCGAGUCUGAAUAGGGCGUUUAGUAUUUGGUCGUAGACCCGAAACCAGGUGAUCUACCCUUGGUCAGGUUGAAGUUCAGGUAACACUGAAUGGAGGACCGAACCGACUUACGUUGAAAAGUGAGCGGAUGAACUGAGGGUAGCGGAGAAAUUCCAAUCGAACCUGGAGAUAGCUGGUUCUCUCCGAAAUAGCUUUAGGGCUAGCCUCAAGUGAUGAUUAUUGGAGGUAGAGCACUGUUUGGACGAGGGGCCCCUCUCGGGUUACCGAAUUCAGACAAACUCCGAAUGCCAAUUAAUUGAACUUGGGAGUCAGAACAUGGGUGAUAAGGUCCGUGUUCGAAAGGGAAACAGCCCAGACCACCAGCUAAGGUCCCAAAAUAUAUGUUAAGUGGAAAAGGAUGUGGCGUUGCCCAGACAACUAGGAUGUUGGCUUAGAAGCAGCCAUCAUUUAAAGAGUGCGUAAUAGCUCACUAGUCGAGUGACACUGCGCCGAAAAUGUACCGGGGCUAAACAUAUUACCGAAGCUGUGGAUUGUCCUUUGGACAAUGGUAGGAGAGCGUUCUAAGGGCGUUGAAGCAUGAUCGUAAGAACAUGUGGAGCGCUUAGAAGUGAGAAUGCCGGUGUGAGUAGCGAAAGACGGGUGAGAAUCCCGUCCACCGAUUGACUAAGGUUUCCAGAGGAAGGCUCGUCCGCUCUGGGUUAGUCGGGUCCUAAGCUGAGGCCGACAGGCGUAGGCGAUGGAUAACAGGUUGAUAUUCCUGUACCACCUAUAAUCGUUUUAAUCGAUGGGGGGACGCAGUAGGAUAGGCGAAGCGUGCGAUUGGAUUGCACGUCUAAGCAGUAAGGCUGAGUAUUAGGCAAAUCCGGUACUCGUUAAGGCUGAGCUGUGAUGGGGAGAAGACAUUGUGUCUUCGAGUCGUUGAUUUCACACUGCCGAGAAAAGCCUCUAGAUAGAAAAUAGGUGCCCGUACCGCAAACCGACACAGGUAGUCAAGAUGAGAAUUCUAAGGUGAGCGAGCGAACUCUCGUUAAGGAACUCGGCAAAAUGACCCCGUAACUUCGGGAGAAGGGGUGCUCUUUAGGGUUAACGCCCAGAAGAGCCGCAGUGAAUAGGCCCAAGCGACUGUUUAUCAAAAACACAGGUCUCUGCUAAACCGUAAGGUGAUGUAUAGGGGCUGACGCCUGCCCGGUGCUGGAAGGUUAAGAGGAGUGGUUAGCUUCUGCGAAGCUACGAAUCGAAGCCCCAGUAAACGGCGGCCGUAACUAUAACGGUCCUAAGGUAGCGAAAUUCCUUGUCGGGUAAGUUCCGACCCGCACGAAAGGCGUAACGAUUUGGGCACUGUCUCAACGAGAGACUCGGUGAAAUCAUAGUACCUGUGAAGAUGCAGGUUACCCGCGACAGGACGGAAAGACCCCGUGGAGCUUUACUGUAGCCUGAUAUUGAAAUUCGGCACAGCUUGUACAGGAUAGGUAGGAGCCUUUGAAACGUGAGCGCUAGCUUACGUGGAGGCGCUGGUGGGAUACUACCCUAGCUGUGUUGGCUUUCUAACCCGCACCACUUAUCGUGGUGGGAGACAGUGUCAGGCGGGCAGUUUGACUGGGGCGGUCGCCUCCUAAAAGGUAACGGAGGCGCUCAAAGGUUCCCUCAGAAUGGUUGGAAAUCAUUCAUAGAGUGUAAAGGCAUAAGGGAGCUUGACUGCGAGACCUACAAGUCGAGCAGGGUCGAAAGACGGACUUAGUGAUCCGGUGGUUCCGCAUGGAAGGGCCAUCGCUCAACGGAUAAAAGCUACCCCGGGGAUAACAGGCUUAUCUCCCCAAGAGUUCACAUCGACGGGGAGGUUUGGCACCUCGAUGUCGGCUCAUCGCAUCCUGGGGCUGUAGUCGGUCCCAAGGGUUGGGCUGUUCGCCCAUUAAAGCGGUACGCGAGCUGGGUUCAGAACGUCGUGAGACAGUUCGGUCCCUAUCCGUCGUGGGCGUAGGAAAUUUGAGAGGAGCUGUCCUUAGUACGAGAGGACCGGGAUGGACAUACCUCUGGUGUACCAGUUGUCGUGCCAACGGCAUAGCUGGGUAGCUAUGUGUGGACGGGAUAAGUGCUGAAAGCAUCUAAGCAUGAAGCCCCCCUCAAGAUGAGAUUUCCCAACUUCGGUUAUAAGAUCCCUCAAAGAUGAUGAGGUUAAUAGGUUCGAGGUGGAAGCAUGGUGACAUGUGGAGCUGACGAAUACUAAUCGAUCGAAGACUUAAUCAA